AUCCCGAAAUAUCGCAAAAUUCCAGCCCAAAAAUGCCAAAAUACCCCAAAAUUCCAGCCCAAAAAUCCUGGGAGUUAUCUCAAAAAAUCCCCAAAAAUCCCCGUCCAAAAAUCCCGAAAUACCCCAAAAUUCCGGACUAAAAAUUCCAAAAUUCCGGCCCAAAAAUCCUGGGAAUUAUCUCAAAAAAUCCCCAAAACUCCCAGCCCAAAAAUCCUGGGAGUUAUCGCAAAAAAUCCCGGUACAAAAAUCCCGAAAUAUCCCAAAAUUCCAGCCCAAAAAUUCCAAAAUUUCUGCCCCAAAAAAUCCUGGUAAUUAUCUCCAAAAAUCCCCAAAAAUCCCAGCUCAAAAAUUUUGGGAAUUGUCUCAAAAAAUCCCCAAAAAUCCCAGUCCAAAAAUCCGAAAAUAUCCCAAAAUUCCAGCCCCAAAAUCCUGGGAGUUAUCUCAAAAAAUCCCCAAAAAUCCUGGUCCAAAAAUCCUGGGAGUUAUCUCAAAAAAUCCCCAAAAUCCCGGCCCCAAAAUCCUGGGAGUUAUCUCAAAAAAUCCCCAAAAAUCCCGGUGCGAAAAUCCCCAAAAAUCCUGGUCCAAAAAUCCUGGAAAUUAUCUCAAAGAAUCUCCAAAAAUCCCGGUCCAAAAAUACCAAAAUAUCCCAAAAUUCCAGCCCCAAAAUCCUGGGAAUUAUCUAAAAAAAUCCCCAAAAAUCCUGGUCCAAAAAUCCCGAAAUAUUGCAAAAUUACAGCCCAAAAAUCCUGGGAAUUAUCUCAAAAAAUCCCCAAAACUCCCAGUCCAAAAAUCCCCAAAAAUCCGGGUCCAAAAAUCCCAAAAUAUCCCAAAAUUACAGCCCCAAAAUCCUGGGAGUUAUCUCAAAAAAUCCCCAAAACUCCCAGUCCAAAAAUCCCCAAAAAUCCUGGUCCAAAAAUCCUGGGAAUUAUCUCAAAAAACCCCCAAAAAUCCCAGUCCAAAAAUUCCAAAAUAUCCCAAAAUUACAGCCCAAAAAUCCUGGGAAUUAUCUCAAAAAAUCCCCAAAAAUCCCAGUCCAAAAAUCCCGAA
This 1047-nucleotide long non-coding RNA is filed under the name Zonotrichia albicollis (white-throated sparrow). Its description in RNAcentral is "lncRNA (ENSZALG00000001737.1)". The record is from RNAcentral. Lineage: Eukaryota; Metazoa; Chordata; Aves; Passeriformes; Passerellidae.